This 279-nucleotide ribosomal RNA is filed under the name uncultured bacterium. Its description in RNAcentral is "partial 16S ribosomal RNA". It matches the Rfam family "Bacterial small subunit ribosomal RNA", at positions 506 to 784 of the family's 1533-position model. The record is from RNAcentral.
UGCCAGCAGCCGCGGUAAUACGAAGGGUGCUAGCGUUGUUCGGAAUUACUGGGCGUAAAGAGCAUGUAGGCGGAUGAAUUAGUUAGGGGUGAAAUCCCGGGGCUCAACCCCGGAACUGCCUCUAAUACUGCUAGUCUUGAGUUCGAGAGAGGUGAGUGGAAUUCCGAGUGUAGAGGUGAAAUUCGUAGAUAUUCGGAAGAACACCAGUGGCGAAGGCGACUCACUGGCACAUUUCUGACGCUGAGGCGCGAAAGCGUGGGGAGCAAACAGGAUUAGAUA